Non-coding RNA from Rattus norvegicus (Norway rat), 69 nucleotides. The record is from Rfam. NCBI's taxonomy places the organism in Eukaryota, Metazoa, Chordata, Mammalia, Rodentia, Muridae.
GGGGAUUUAGCUCAGUGGUAGAGCGCUUGCCUAGCAAGCGCAAGGCCCUGGGUUCGUUCCCCAGCUCCG